RNAcentral lists this ribosomal RNA (889 nucleotides) under Partnunia cf. steinmanni A LB-2019. RNAcentral's name for it is "partial large subunit ribosomal RNA". Lineage: Eukaryota; Metazoa; Arthropoda; Arachnida; Trombidiformes; Hydryphantidae. The record is from RNAcentral.
AGUAUUUAGACAAAAAGCAAAAGAAGAUCAAAAAACAAACAUUUUUAAAUUAAAAUAAAAUAUUACCCCAACCAAAUAAACAAAUAUACAUAUAUUAUAUAUAAAAAUUAUGAAAAACAUCUUAUCUAUAAAAAUUUAAGGGUCUUUUAGUCUAAUAGAAUCUCACUAAAACUUUUCAAAAGUAAAACAAAUUCAAAACAUAAAUUAAUGAAAAAGAAGCUUUUCAACUUCCUUCAUACAAGCUCUCAAUUAAAGAACAAAUGAUUACGCUACCUUAGCAUAGUCAAAAUACCAUGGCUAUUUAAAUCAUUGAGCAGAAAAUACUGAGUAAAAACUCAGAAUAGAUUUUGAUAAACAUUUAAAACUUCAUUUUACUAAUUAUAACAAUUAACAAUUAAAUAAAUAAACAAAAAAGAAAAAGACACAAAAAUCUACUAAUAAUAAAAUUAUAAAAUAAGACAAUAAAACAUAAUUAAAAUAAUUCAAAACAUAAUAAAUAAAAACAAUAGUUAAGACACAAAAAAAGAACUUUUAACAAUUUAAAUAUAAAAUAUAAAUACCAAAAAAUAAAAAGAGCUCACCCCCCAAAGAAUAAGUAAAACCAGAUAUCAAAAGAAGCGAAAGCAUAUAACCACAAUCCAAUUUUUUAAUAAUUCAACAUAAAAAAGAAAUAGAUAGUUCAAACUUUUUUCGGGAAAACAAAAAUAUAAUAUAUUCCUCCUCCCCUAAUACAAAAGGUAUUGAUUAAAACAAUCCACAAUUUAUAAUAAUAUAAUAAAAUAUAGAUAAAUAACAAAAUUGCCUAUUAAAUCCUCCAAAAUCAAAAUAUGGUAUGUCUUUUACACCAAAGGCAAAGCAUAACUGUUACAUCUUGAUACGAUAUAAAAGG